CAGAAAAUAGUUUAUAAAAAUAUUAAUUUUGGAGAUUAAAGAUGGAGUUACUUUCUUUUCUGA
This 63-nucleotide transfer RNA is filed under the name Xyleborus sp. BMNH 1040067. RNAcentral describes it as "tRNA-Pro". The record is from RNAcentral. Lineage: Eukaryota; Metazoa; Arthropoda; Insecta; Coleoptera; Curculionidae.